This 462-nucleotide ribosomal RNA is filed under the name uncultured Glomus. RNAcentral describes it as "SSU rRNA". It matches the Rfam family "Eukaryotic small subunit ribosomal RNA", at positions 569 to 1038 of the family's 1831-position model. The record is from RNAcentral. Lineage: Eukaryota; Fungi; Glomeromycota; Glomeromycetes; Glomerales; Glomeraceae.
AGCAGCCGCGGUAAUUCCAGCUCCAAUAGCGUAUAUUAAAGUUGCUGCAGUUAAAAAGCUCGUAGUUGAAUUUCGGGACCAUCAUGUCGGUCGUGCCUCGGUACGUACUGGCAUUGUUGGUUUCUCCCUUCUGACGAACCAUGAUGUCAUUAAUUUGGUGUCUUGGGGAAUCAGGACUGUUACUUUGAAAAAUUAGAGUGUUUAAAGCAGGCUCACGCUUGAAUACAUUAGCAUGGAAUAAUGAAAUAGGACGUUUGAUUCUAUUUUGUUGGUUUCUAGGAUCGACGUAAUGAUUAAUAGGGAUAGUUGGGGGCAUUAGUAUUCAAUUGUCAGAGGUGAAAUUCUUGGAUUUAUUGAAGACUAACUACUGCGAAAGCAUUUGCCAAGGAUGUUUUCAUUAAUCAAGAACGAAAGUUAGGGGAUCGAAGACGAUCAGAUACCGUCGUAGUCUAACCAUAAACU